UACGGAGGGCGCAAGCGUUGUUCGGAAUCACUGGGCGUAAAGCGCGUGUAGGCGGCUUGGCAAGUCGGAUGUGAAAUCCCGAGGCUCAACCUCGGAACUGCACUCGAAACUGCCUGGCUCGAGUCCCGGAGAGGGUGGCGGAAUUCCCGGUGUAGGGGUGAAAUCCGUAGAUAUCGGGAGGAACACCAGUGGCGAAGGCGGCCACCUGGACGGUGUCUGACGCUGAGUCGCGAAAGCGUGGGGAGCACACAGG
Molecule: ribosomal RNA, 253 nt
Filed under: uncultured bacterium
Lineage: Bacteria
Description: partial 16S ribosomal RNA
Rfam family: Bacterial small subunit ribosomal RNA
Source: RNAcentral